Molecule: ribosomal RNA, 856 nt
Filed under: Septoria protearum
Lineage: Eukaryota; Fungi; Ascomycota; Dothideomycetes; Mycosphaerellales; Mycosphaerellaceae
Description: LSU rRNA
Rfam family: Eukaryotic large subunit ribosomal RNA
Source: RNAcentral
AUAACGGCGAGUGAAGCGGCAACAGCUCAAAUUUGAAAUCUGGCGCAAGCCCGAGUUGUAAUUUGUAGAGGAUGCUUCUGGGUAGCGACCGAUCUAAGUUCCUUGGAACAGGACGUCAUAGAGGGUGAGAAUCCCGUAUGUGACCGGCCCGCACCCUUUACGUAGCUCCUUCGACGAGUCGAGUUGUUUGGGAAUGCAGCUCUAAAUGGGAGGUAAAUUUCUUCUAAAGCUAAAUACCGGCCAGAGACCGAUAGCGCACAAGUAGAGUGAUCGAAAGAUGAAAAGUACUUUGGAAAGAGAGUUAAAAAGCACGUGAAAUUGUUGAAAGGGAAGCGCCUGCAACCAGACUUCGUGGCAGUGUUCCGCCGGUCUUCUGACCGGUUUAUUCUCUGUCGCGAGGCCAUCAUCGUCUAGGCCCGCCGGAUAAGACCUUAGGAAUGUAGCUCACCUUCGGGGGAGUGUUAUAGCUUAUGGUGAUGCGGCGAGGCUUGGGCGAGGUCCGCGCUUCGGCAAGGAUGAUGGCGUAAUGGUUGUCGGCGGCCCGUCUUGAAACACGGACCAAGGAGUCUAACAUCUAUGCGAGUGUUCGGGUGUCAAACCCCUACGCGUAAUGAAAGUGAACGGAGGUGGGAACCGCAAGGUGCACCAUCGACCGAUCCUGAUGUCCUCGGAUGGAUUUGAGUAAGAGCAUAGCUGUUGGGACCCGAAAGAUGGUGAACUAUGCCUGAAUAGGGUGAAGCCAGAGGAAACUCUGGUGGAGGCUCGCAGCGGUUCUGACGUGCAAAUCGAUCGUCAAAUUUGGGUAUAGGGGCGAAAGACUAAUCGAACCAUCUAGUAGCUGGUUCCUGCCGAAGUU